CCUACGGGGAGGCAGCAGUGAGGAAGAUUGGGCAAUGGGCGCGAGCCUGAACCAGCCAAGGAGCGUGAAGGAUGACUGCCCGAAGGGUUGGAAACUUCUUUUAGAAAGGAAGAAAGUGAGGCACGUGUGCCUUUUUGUAUGUACUUUAUGAAGAAGGAUCGGCUAACUCCGUGCCAGCAGCCGCGGUAAUACGGAGGAUCCGAGCGUUAUCCGGAUUUAUUGGGUUUAACGGGAGCGUAGAUGGGUUGUUAAGUCAGUUGUGAAAGUUUGCGGCUCAACCGUAAAAUUGCAAUUGAUACUGGCAGUCUUGAGUACAGUUGAGGUAGGCGGAAUUCGUGGUGUAGCGGUUAAAUGCUUAGAUAUCACGAAGAACUCCGAUUGCGAAGGCAGCUUACUAAACUGCCACUGACAUUGAUGCUCGAACGUGUGGGUAUCAAACAGGAUUAGAUACCCUUGUAGUC
Molecule: ribosomal RNA, 461 nt
Filed under: uncultured bacterium
Lineage: Bacteria
Description: partial 16S ribosomal RNA
Rfam family: Bacterial small subunit ribosomal RNA
Source: RNAcentral